This 96-nucleotide transfer RNA is filed under the name Cellulomonas oligotrophica. Its description in RNAcentral is "tRNA-Arg". Lineage: Bacteria; Bacillati; Actinomycetota; Actinomycetes; Micrococcales; Cellulomonadaceae. The record is from RNAcentral.
GACGACGCUAGGUGGCCGGGGAGCCGUCCGCAUCCGGAGCGGGCGGGCCCGACGGCUCGUCGCGCAGGCGCGGCUCCGUGCGGCGCGCCGGCACCA